AGUGAACGCUGGCGGUAGGCCUAACACAUGCAAGUCGAACGGCAGCACAGUAAGAGCUUGCUCUUAUGGGUGGCGAGUGGCGGACGGGUGAGGAAUACAUCGGAAUCUACUUUUUCGUGGGGGAUAACGUAGGGAAACUUACGCUAAUACCGCAUACGACCUACGGGUGAAAGCAGUGGAUCUUCGCACCUUGCGCGAAUGAAUGAGCCGAUGUCGGAUUAGCUAGUUGGCGGGGUAAAGGCCCACCAAGGCGCCGAUCCGUAGCUGGUCUGAGAGGAUGAUCAGCCACACUGGAACUGGGACACGGUCCAGGCUCCUACGGGAGGCCGCAGUGGGGAAUAUUGGACAAUGGGCGCAAGCCUGAUCCAGCCAUACCGCGUGGGUGAAGAAGGCCUUCGGGUUGGAAAGCCCUUUUGUGGGGAAAGAAAAGCAGCAGGUUGAUACCCCGCUGUUCUGACGGUACCCAAAGAAUAAGCACCGGCUAACUUCGUG
This 492-nucleotide ribosomal RNA is filed under the name uncultured bacterium. RNAcentral describes it as "partial 16S ribosomal RNA". It matches the Rfam family "Bacterial small subunit ribosomal RNA", at positions 29 to 507 of the family's 1533-position model. The record is from RNAcentral.